RNAcentral lists this long non-coding RNA (518 nucleotides) under Phaseolus vulgaris (common bean). RNAcentral describes it as "long non-coding RNA (PVUL_LNC001981)". The record is from RNAcentral. Lineage: Eukaryota; Viridiplantae; Streptophyta; Magnoliopsida; Fabales; Fabaceae.
AUGCACCCACCACCUUUGCCUCAGGGAGUGCCACCACCGCCGCCGCCAGAAGAGGCUCCUCCCCCACUCCCAGAAGAACCAGAACCAAAGAGGCAGAAACUUGAUGAUUAUGCUCUGAUCCCUGAAGAUCAAUUUCUGGCUCAACAUCCUGUAUGGAUCGACCUAGUUAACAAUUAUUAUUGUUUUAAAUGUUUAUAUAGAACUAUGUUUAGCGUCAGUGCUAUUCUAUAUAUCCUAACUGGCUGUCUGUUUUACUGAUUGUAGGGACCUGUUCGUAUCAGUGUAUCUGUUCCUAAUGUUGAUGAAGGAAGUCUCAAGGGACAAGUUCUGGAAAUUACAGUGCAAUCUUUGUCUGAAACCGUUGGUAGUUUGAAAGAAAAAAUUGCAGGGGAGAUUCAGCUCCCUGCUAAUAAGCAGAAAUUGAGCGGAAAACCUGGCUUUCUCAAGGAUAACAUGUCACUUGCCCAUUACAAUCUUGGUGGAGGGGAAACACUUACCCUCACCUUAAGAGAGCGGGG